This 467-nucleotide ribosomal RNA is filed under the name uncultured bacterium. RNAcentral describes it as "bacterial SSU rRNA". It matches the Rfam family "Bacterial small subunit ribosomal RNA", at positions 337 to 797 of the family's 1533-position model. The record is from RNAcentral.
UCCUACGGGUGGCUGCAGUCGAGAAUCUUUCACAAUGGGGGCAACCCUGAUGGAGCGACGCCGCGUGGAGGAUAAGGUCUUCGGAUUGUAAACUCCUGUCAUGCGUGAACAAGGUUGCCUGGUUAAUACCUGGGCAAAUUGAUGGUAACGCAAGAGGAAGAGACGGCUAACUCUGUGCCAGCAGCCGCGGUAAUACAGAGGUCUCAAGCGUUGUUCGGAAUCACUGGGCGUAAAGGGUGCGUAGGUGGCGUGGUAAGUCAGAUGUGAAAGCCCGGGGCUCAACCUCGGAACUGCAUCCGAUACUGCUGUGCUAGAGUACUGGAGAGGUGACUAGAAUUCUCGGUGUAGCAGUGAAAUGCGUAGAUAUCGAGAGGAAUACCAAAGGCGUAGGCAGGUCACUGGACAGUUACUGACACUGAGGCACGAAGGCCAGGGGAGCAAACGGGAUUAGAUACCCCAGUAGUCGC